Molecule: long non-coding RNA, 239 nt
Filed under: Elaeis guineensis (African oil palm)
Lineage: Eukaryota; Viridiplantae; Streptophyta; Magnoliopsida; Arecales; Arecaceae
Description: long non-coding RNA (EGUI_LNC005522)
Source: RNAcentral
AGUUCGAGCCCCGAAUCUCUCUCUUUCGGGCUCUUUUUAUGUUGAAGAAAUAUUCUCGAGAAUGGAGAUGGUGGUUCUUUAGUCUCCGACCUAAACGUCAGUUUAUCAUCGGACUUUCUUUUUCCAUCCACGGAUGAAAGAAUUAAUUUUUUUAUAUAGCUGCCAACCACCCCUGGGGCUUCGACUGGCAUUGGACCACUCCCAGUCUAUCUUUGAAUAGGAACGAUGUGAUCCUGGCU